Long non-coding RNA from Triplophysa dalaica, 13473 nucleotides. RefSeq lists it as uncharacterized. Lineage: Eukaryota; Metazoa; Chordata; Actinopteri; Cypriniformes; Nemacheilidae. The transcript is spliced from 3 exons. The record is from RefSeq and is a predicted model, not a curated record.
CUGUGCCACGUCCAGUGUGGACAAAAUGUAAAAUUAUAAUGGGUUCCAUUGCAGGGCUCGACAUUAAGGACAGCCUGAUUGCAACAGGGCCACUAUGGGAAAUCCUCGGGCCAGUUGAGAGGACUGUCACUUGCCCGAUCUGGCCAGUGAUGUAUCGUCAUUGAAAAUGAUAUUUGCCAAUAGCAUGGCAGGGCGAGGUGAAAGAGCCCACCCACCAGCCAACCGAUGAGAAACAUCCGCUUACCAUCAAGAUUAUCUGCGCUGCGUCAAGAUGGGCUGCGCUGCACUGCAGCUCGUAACUCUUGAGGUAGUGAAGUUUAGGUGUGUCUGUUUCUUCACGGCAUUUCAGUGAUGGAUGUUAUUUAAAGGGUGGGUAUAACGCUGGAUUUGGAGAUCAUUUGAAUCUGAUAGAUGGCGCGGUUCCAAUGCUAAAAGAUCGACAUGAACUGCAUGCGACCAGCGCCUAAGCCUUUCAGCUCCGAGGGGAAGACCGGAUACCCCGCACCGAAAUCCAUGACGACUGCACCCUCUUAAGGUGAAUACCAGAGACACGAAACUGCACUUUUCACUUAUCCAUUCUUCUAUUUUCCUACCUGACGGGUGAAGCGCAGCAGGCGUACUACUCCCUGUCCUCGUUAGACGGCAGCGACUAUGACCAUAUGAAGCACGAAAUUCUGGCCCGCGUAGGAAUUUCCCCAGUUUGUGCUGCCCAGCGGUUCCAGCAGUGGCGAUACGAAGAGAAUGCCCCUAUCCGAAUUCAGGCCGCAAAAAUGUCACGCCUGGAUCAGUUGUGGCUGAUGGCGGGGAAUCCAACAGCCACGCUGGUGGCGGAACGAGUCGUCGUGGACCGGCUGCUCCGCUCCCUGCCUAAUCAACUCAGGGGACCCGUGGGGAUGAGCGGCCUGGACACCCUUAGCGAUCUCGUCAAGGCCGUUGAGCUGGCCGAGGCAUCCUGGACGUGGGAUACAGGAGAGAGAGCCGCGGCACCACCCCGAAGGAUGGCACCACCAUGGCGACCUCCGGAGGGCACCUCAUGAUCAGUUAGCCGCCCGGUGGCCAUCUCACAUCAAGACGAACCCAUGCCCACGGAGACUCCCACAUCUCUACGGCAUGCGUGGAUGGCGGGGUGUAUAGUCCAUCUUGAGACCCCUGCGGGAGCACCAGACAUGGUAGUACACAUCAAGGGGAAGGCCGUACAUGCUGUACUCGAUUCCGGUAGCGCAGUGACCCUAGCCUAACCCUGUAUUCUGCCCCUGCUUUAGUACAUGCACAGUUUCUGUUCGGCGUAUAUACGUAUAUUGCGCUGCCCAAGUGGAAGCUUAUACAGCGAAAGUAUUUACAAAAUUGAUAACAGACAAUUGUGCUUCAUGGGGGAACCAUCCACCAAAACGGCUCGUUGUUGCUUUAAGGCCGAAGUAUGGUCCGUACGUCAGCUUUGCGCGCUUUCCGCAUGAUGCAAUUUUUUGUCAUUAGAAGGGUCCGCGGUUGUCCGCACACUCCGUCUGCGUACAGCCCAACCGCACGUGCGUGAAAAAGUUUACUAGUCCACUGGGGUCCAUACACACAUAGAAUGUGUGCAGUGUGCCGCUCAAAUCAAGAACAAUAAACUAGGAAGCAAAUCCUUCUCCAUACUGUUUCGUUGUUGUUCUUUUUUGCCUUGCUGUUUGCAAUGGCGAAUGACUUCCUUAUCAUUAAUUUGCAGUGGGUCUGUGAAUGUUGCAACUCACCGCUGCCCUCUGACGGUCUGGUACAGCAGACAUACUAAUUUGUACUGCGCAUGUGUACGCUAGCAGCUUCAAAAAAAGAAGUCAGGUGUGAACACAGACAGCUUUGUCUAUUUGUAGUGGUUCUCUCUUGAGUGGAUAAAGUAGAUGCUGAGAUUGCGAACCAGCCAGGUGGAUUAUCUACUCGUGCUCGUCUCGAAAUUUGUUCAUUAUAAUUCAUUCACUAAAGCAUGUCACGAUAACGUGCAGUGAUCCAUCUUCGUUUGCGUUACUAUCCUCCGUCCAUUCUUGUCUGCAUUAACAUUUGCUUGUUAUUUGGCGUGAGAAUUGUUUAGUUGGGCAGAGUGAGAGCCUAAAAGCGUUUGCGAAAAGCUUACAACCCUGAACUUGUGAUUGAGCAGACACCUGAAGCUAGGCUCUCUAGUGAAAGGGGAGGGGCCAUGCAUGCUCGAACACUCCAUUGCGUCAUCGAUCCACCGUUUUAGCCCCGCCAAAAACUCUUGAACAGAGAAUCGGUGAACAACUGUUUAACGGUUUAACUCCAUAAUUCAGUACUACAUGAUUUUGAGUCUUUGUAAUGUGUAUCAGCAAAACAUCUCUAACAUUAAUAAUGUGUUUAGAAACAAUUCUCAAAAUUCACUUUACCCGUUCUUUAAAUAUCUGUGCCCCAGUGUAGUUAAUUGCAGUAAACUGCCUAAAUAGCCUAUUUUAUAUUAUCUUCAAACUGGGACUAUGAAUUCAAAAUACUAUUGCAAGACCUAUAAAAAAUCCCUUAAGGGCAUUUAGGACAAAUAAAUUAAAAGGUAAAAACUAUAGAUCUCAACAUAAAAUACAAUCUUACGUGUUAUUUAGCUGCAAUGUUAUUUACCAUGUUCUUUACAAUAUGUGUACUGUCACAUGUUAUGCCUUUAAACAGAGGGAGGUGUUUCCAUCGUAUUAAUGACCGGUAGAAAAGAAUGAGCAAAAUACUUAGAACAGCCUUCAUGGUGAAACGUGGAAAAGUACUGAGGAAGUUCUUAAAUAACCUAAGAAUGAGGAGGACCUUUUUAUCUACAUGUGUAGACAAUUGAGCUGCUGUACAUCGAAUGAGUGUAAAUCUUUUGUCACAAAACCAGCAUAAAUGUAUAACAUAUGUGAGUUUUAUUUUACGCCUUUACAGGUGAGCUGUUUUAUUUCUCCAUGCUCAUUGCAACAUGACACUGAAGAACAAUGUACAACAUAGUUUGAAAGUAAGAGCUUUAGACAGAAUACGUUAAGAGGUUUAUAUUGAUAAUAUAGAAGACAAGCAAAGUGUUUCUGACGAUGCAAUACUGUUCACAUUCUGCAUUUAUGGUUUGAAAGAAUUCAGCUCACCAAGCAGAGGAAAAGGGGCAAGCUAGCAGCAUCUAGUGAGAGAACUGGACAAAAGCAGAUGCCACAAAAAAUGCUUCCCACAUCAUGCACGUACGCACACACACUUGCUCCACCUUCAUCUGCUCUUUUUUCUUAACUCAUGUUUUUCUGUCUAAUGUGGAGCACUACAGAGACUGAAAAUGUUUCUAUCUUUGACAUCUUACUCAAGAUUUGCUAAUAGCUGAAAAUGAAUGAUGACAGUAAGAAAGUACUGUGCUGGAUUUUAACUCUGACUGUGUGUCCUACCAAAGGAAAUUAUUCAAUAAUUUAUUGGAUAUAAUAUACUGGCCUGAAUUUUAUUAUCGGCAGAUACCGUUUACAUUGAAAUUGACCAUUUACUGACAUGGGCGAUAAUUUAUCGUGAAUCACUAGCUGAAACAAACCGUGGAUCACUGUAAUUUUAUCUUGACCCCACAAUUCAUGUAUCACAAACAUCAAACCACUGUUCUACAAACAUGUUUAUGAUGCUGAAUAAUAUUUAAUGUUAAGUGUAAAACCAAAAUUAUGAAAACUUAACCUACCGGCAUAAGUAAAAAGCUACUUAUUUUAAGCAUUUCUCCUAAUAACAAGAUUAAAUGGCUAACAUCUGGACCUUUGCUAGACAGCGCUUUAAGUGAUUUCAUAGAAUGGCCCAAAGAAAAACCCUUUUCAGUUCUAGUUUAUUAUAGUAAAAGUGAACUAACCUUGUUGUACUACAAACUGCAGUGGUUAACAAUGUUUUUUGCAAAACCAGCAAAAACAUGUUUAAUUUGUUUACUGGGGUUUUUAAAACCAAAAAACAUGGUUUCUAUCGUCCACUUUGAAAAAUGUAAAAUUGUUUUAAUCUAAAAUACAUAAUUAAAUCUUAAAGAUACUUUUUUUUACAUUUUGACAAAUGUUGGUUGUAUUCAGUUCAAACGUUUGUGCAGAGUUAAAAAAAGGAAAUAGGAAGUUCUACCUACGUUGUUGUUUACGGUUUCCGAAGUGGACUUAUGUAUACCCCUGUUACAUUACAUAUUGGGGUCAUAUGGCGCGAAUAAAUGUUUUUUCUUUGUCUUUGGUGUGUUGCCCAUGCAUGUAUUACACACUUAAAAUUGCUAAAAUGCAACAAAAGAUGCAUUCUUUCUAAAAGAGAAUGCGAACCCAGACCUGCCUGAAAAAAACGCCUCAUGUAACCACACCCCGGCGAAUGUACUAGUGAUUCUUUUUGAACGAAUCUUUAACAUGACUCGGUAGUAACGAGUGUCUUAGAUAGUGAUUUAUUCAUUUUGUGUUGACCGCGGAUGUGCAACUUUGUACCAGAAACAGUAAUGGUAAUUUCGUCUCUCGAGUCAUCGGGUUCGAGCCCUUCCGUUCUUUUGUCAAAUAGCUCCGCAGGCAAACAUGCAGCCUGUACCGGAGACUUCGAGUCCGAGUCUUUAACGACGUGACCGCUUCCCGGAUCAUCAGUAUGUGCUAAUAUGUUGUAUUAUAGGAAGAAAUAUUAUAAAAUGAUCAAAGAUAUGUGCAAUAAACAUAUUCUUUUAAACUUAAGUAACACUAGUAAAGUAAGUGUUUAUGUCUAAUGCAUAUAUCACACAAGUGAUCUCUUAUUAAAUAAUUGCACAUUUAAGUUGCCUAUUAAUAUAUACUUUGCUAACUGCAUGAGACUUUUUAGUAAAAAGAGCAUAUUAUUGCAUGAGUGACUCAAAAUUGUUAAUGAAUUAUAAAUACAUUACUUUACAGAAAUGCACCAAAAACAGGAGUUAAAACUGCAUGAAUAUUUAUAAGGGAAGUCAGGAUAUAAGUUAUUUUUGUAUGUAAUACAUUAAACACGCGUCAAAUCACGUGACAAAAUUAUGUCUAUAAUUAAUGCACACUUAAGUCACUUGCACUAUUGUAUAGUCUAAAUUGUUAUCUGUUCAUAACCAGCUGUACAUUAAUGUUCACAGUAUAUAGCCUUCUUUAUAUAUUGUUCUAUACCGACUGUCAUAUUUUCAUAGAACAUUCCUUCUGUAAAUUAAUUUCAUAGUACAUGCCUAUUGUAUAGUAUUUUUCCUAAUAUUGUAUUCUGUAUUUAUUCACACUGUAUAUCCUGCACUUGCUAAUUGCACGUCUGGUUAGGCCUAAACUACAUUUCGUUACACUGUACUUGUAUAUGUGUAAUGAAAAUAAAGUUGAAUCUAAUCAAAAGAACGAACGACUCAAACCCGAAGACUCGGUAGGUGAACUAAUAAUUUAUGUUUUCUGUAAAUGCAGCCUGUAUGUUUUAAUUCUCCAUGCUUUAUGGGCAAAAUAACGAAUGACUCGUGCAUGACGUCUCUAGAGUUGAGCUGUAAUCCGUUUUGUUUCUUGAACAGGUUUCAGAGUUUAUAUGAAUAUCAGGAAAUAAUUAAAUUAGGCUACAGUUUCUCAUAACUUGUCCCUAACUACAAUGUAAGUUAUUUAUUAUUAUAUAUCUGAUCAAAACUAGCAUAUAUAAACGUCAUGUGGUAAUUUGGCUUUUAACAUGCAACAUUCAUUUAACUCUGCUCAGAUGAAUGAAAUGAGUCGGAAAAAGAUUCGUUCAUUUUGCUGAAUGAGAUUCAAAUAUCCGAAUCGCAAAAAUGAGUCGAACUUCCCAUCACUAGAAUGUACGUCACUUCGUAACAUCAUUUGACUAAGACCGCUCAAAUCUGAUGUAUGUGAGGUGGUGAGUUGAGUUUGUCGUGUGUUUGUGAUCUGCAAAUGUGGACACGUGCGCAACGUGAAAAAGGACAACAUAAGUCAUAAUAAUCAUUAAUAAUGUUCCAACUAGAGUCAACAAAUGUCGUGUUUAUAAUAUAUUUUUAUUUAGUCUUAUUUUGGUUAUAUUGUCUUUGUUGUGUAGCGACGAGACGUGGCGUAACACUGUUCCACCAGGGCCAAUUAAAGAGCUCGCCUUAUUUAUUAUGUUACCAUUCCCUGCUGUUAUGUGAGCUUGUUUCUAUCUCACACAAACUCUGUAUGAUGUAUAUGGUUGUGUGUUUAUAGUCGCGCUGGCAAAGAUUAUGUAUCGACUUGAUCAUCUUCAUUUUCCACAUCAGAUUUGGGCUCGAAUUGAUAUAAGGAAAUUCCGAUGACAUUUUAUCACAUGUUAGUACAAUUGUUUAGGAACAUGAUUAUCCGAAUAUAGUAGUAUAGAGGCGUUACAUUUCCCUCACACUCUUGCAGGGCGCUUUCUCCCUGUCUAUCAUUUUCAAACGCGUUCAACAGAAAAGCUAAUCAGUGUCAGUUGUUAGUUUUUCGUUUCAGAACGGUAUUCUUUACGGUUGCUUAUGACAACAAGCGGCUCAUUACUUAUGAGGUCAGUGUAUGUUCAAUGUCGAGGUUUUCUUUUCUUUUCUUACCUUGUUUUGGACACUGAAAUUACUUGCUGCCUUGUACUGAAGCAAACUCCAGCAGUAGCCCCUCUACAGCUUCGCGCCGGCGGAGACGUGUUUUUAAAGGCGGCUCGGUUGGUGUGUAAAUGUUUAUGUAAAUGAUUCCGAAAUUGCAUACUGCCAUACUGUAUAGUAGGCAAAAAGCAGUAGGCGAACGAAUAGUACGUACGAAACCUCGGUCUACAUAAAACAGUAGGCGAGAAUUUCCUGGCUGGUGCACUUUUUCUCACAAGAUUUGGAUAUGAGUAUACUACGGUUUCGUCCGAAUUCGCCUACUUACCUACUAUUUAGUAUGAGAAAACAGAGCAGUAUGUCCGAAUCCUCAGUAUUCAUAAAAGAGUAGGUGAGAAAUUCCCGGAUGGCUUACUGGUUACUCCCACAUUCUGAAGUACCCAGCAACAGAUACUUGGGAUACUUGUCUAUCCCAUGAGCCCACGGGACAGGAUAAGUUCAUACAGGAGCAUGGCGCAGAACUGCGAGGCAGGUGUUUUCAAAUGUGAGUAUUACUAUCCAACAACGUGUUUCUUUGCGUUGCAGUCGAAUUGGUUAAAGUGCUAUAGCGUAAAGUUAACAUGUAAGAUCCUACGUAGUUAAGUAUAUUUGGGAUUUUGCUGUGAAAAUGCGGCAUUUAAUAUGUCUAGCUUAAAGGAGCGUUCCACGCACACACGUGUAUUCGAAGUAGACAUAACGUUACAUGUAUUAAAACCAUACGCAUGUUAAAGACGCUUUUAAUGUCUGUGUAACAUGUGACCUGUCAUUUUGUCGAUAACCUGAAAUACACAACAUGAAAUACACAUCACAGUAACGUAGCUUACGUCUGUGAAUAUGUGGUACAGAGCAUUAUUCACUGCUUGCAUAGAUACAUAUACGUAAAUUAAAUAAACAAUUUAUUAUUUAUUACAAUUGUUCAUUAGUGCUGUUGAUGAAUUCAGGAAAUUUGAGUUGAACAAACAGCGGGUACACAUAUGUGCAACUACCUCCAUACUUAAAUGCAGUAUUGAGCACAAAUCACAGAAGUAACUUGAAUCUUGUUUGACUGUUACAGGGACAGAUGAGCAAACUCGUUAAAGUCACGUAGGGUCGGAUCCAAUGGACGAGUGGUUUGUGCUCCGAUAUAUGGCGCCGGUGGGUCCCUGGCGACCCGAGUUCGAGUCCUGGCUCGUGGUCCUUUCCCAGACCCCAACCCCUCUCUGUCAUCCACUUCCCUUCCUGUCCUCUCUGAAAUAACUGUCUGUCCAAUAAAGGUAAAAACGGCAAAUAAAUGAUCGCGACGGUGGUCAGCUGCGAGAUGGUAGUAGGAUGUGGACUUCAACACCUGUAGAUACAAGAUAAUUUGUUUAAAAAUAUAAUAAGGAUUGGUCAGCACUUAUCAAUAAUAUUGUGUAUUUUCCUGAGUACUCCAAGUCUUCAAGGGUUCUCAAAGUCUUCCCUGGAAGAGACAGGUAUUUCUUGUGGUGUUAAACAAGCAUCAGUUGAGCUGAGAAAGUCACACAACCGAGUCCUAAUUAAUAUUUUAAAGGUUAUAUAUUCAUGUUUCUUUUUAAAGUUGAUAUUUUCCACAGUAAAAUUAUUGCAAUUUAAUGUACAGUUAAAAUCAUGUUGGAAAUGGAAGUAGUAUGUGUUCUUAUAGUACUUAUGAUUCACAGAGACAUGUGUAAGCAAAGCUCUAAACCACUGCAGGUCUGACUUUGACUAAAUGCUUGAGCCCAAUUCAGUGACCCAUUCAAAGGUAAGUAAUCAAAAUUGUUGAAUAGUCUUUAGCAAAACAUUAUAUUUAUUAAAUUUUCAUAUCGCAGGAGUCAGCUCAUCCAAACUUCUGUAAUGACAUAUAUUUUUACACAUGAGAGUGACCAAAAACUUUUGUGCUAAAACUUAUUUCUUUACUUUUUCCAUUGUCCCUGUAUAGGGCUCAUAUGUUUCUUUUCUGUAGAGCUGCUUUGCAACAAUGCAAAAUUGUGAAAGGUAUUAAUAUAUACAAAAUAUAUUUAAUGUUGCUUGACAUUUAAGGAUGCUACCACUAGGAAAUAAAAGUAUUACUUGCUUAUUGUUUUUAAAAGGAAAUAGAAAAUGAUAAAUAUAUAUAAAAUUAAUUAAUUAAUAAAAAAUCCUCAAUUAAAACCACUCCGUUCUUCUGAUAAAGAAAUGGUUUUUAAAACUAGACUGGCUAAAUUUAUGACAAAACGAUGGUAAUCCAAUGCACAAACACGGCAAAUUCAGAUAAACUAAGACAAUGACUCUAGACAAAUUAUUUUACCCAAGAACAGGCAAAACGAACCACCACAGUACGGAAAACACAAGGGCAUUAUAUAGGGACCAAAUCAAGAGAACAGGUUUGGGGCAUAAACUAAUUAAAAAUCAAUAAUAAGGAAACGAGAGGGCGGGGACAUAGACGAGACUCAAGAGAGCGCGCAGUAUGCCAUAUCAAGUAAUACCAGGUCUCUCUCACUCUAAACUGUGGAUCUGUCAUGAUUCUGCCACACUACUCAGAAACGAUGACCAGAAAAAGCAGAAUCAUGAUAUAGCCCUUUUCAAGGCGUUUCUUUUGAGGAACCUUAUUAAAAUUGUUCUGUAUAGCACCAAAAAGGGUUCUGCUAUUGCCACUAUUUAGAACCCUUUUUCUGAAGAGUGUAUGUUUAAAAACAAUGGGUUUUGGGUAAAUCCCCUGAAAUAAAAUCUGUAGCUAACAGCACAUCUUAAUAUUUUCACGUUUUAAUCUUUGACAUAGAACACACCAGUUAUUCCCCACUGAUAAUUAAACUUAAUUUUGUCUUAAAAAUGGCGGUUGCUAACAAGCUGCUAAAAGUGACUACAUCCUUUGGGGGGAAUGUUAGAUGUAAUCGCUCAUAUAUAGUAAAUCUCACAAAUAAUGCAACAUGGGCACAAAUAAAAAAAACAUGGCUAGGGAUUCAUUCAUGCAGUAAUUACUGACCAAGAAACACUUUUUAGUAACGUUUGAAAAGCUGUCAGAGGCUUGGUGGUGGUGACGUUUACUGUAUAUAUCGAGCGACUGAAGUGUAGUCUGUUUAUAGCCUCAUGUUUUUUUCUUCUGGCAAUUGUAUUUAGGCCUCAAAAGUGACAAAUGUUGUGUAAAUUUGUUAAGAUUAUCUUGAUCAUCUUAAUGUAAACAUUAUAAACCUUUGUUAAUCACAGAUCCUAUUUUUUGUAAUCUUCCAAAAGUCUAUGGGAAAAUGCAAAGGCUUUCAGUUCUGAGAUCCAGUGAGGCUAACUUCCAUGAUGGACUACAAAAAUACGUCAUCUCUGCACCACUCCAUUCUAGGCAAAAGGAUUUUUUUUAAAUACCAAAAUGAAAACUGCUUUUUGUCAAGGUCAAAUGGAGCAACUUCUACAAGUAGCAUCGUCAGACAUGCAAAGCAAUCAAUAGCAUCUCAUCACACUUUUCAUCAAAUUUUUUAGAUCUGUGUAAAAUAUGUAAUGAUUACUCAACAGGUUAUGAGCAAUCUAUGGUUGUGCCAUCUGAAACUAUUAUUUUUACUGUACACAUAUAGCCUACGUUUAGUCAUUAUGUAGUGUGCUAUGUAGUGUGCCAUUAGUGGUGAUUUUAAGUGUUAUUUAAGUACAGCAAAUAGCAGAUUUUAUUAGUCAUUUUGGGUUUUACUUUUCACAGCGACCAAAUUAUCUGGUCAAUUUUAUAUAACUUUCUUUUACAGAUCUUUUAUUUGUUUCUCUUUAAUUUCCUCUUUAAGAAUUUUAGGAGAAACAUCUCAUUAUACGUUGACAAAUAUGCGAGAACUCGACUAGAUGAAGAACAACCAAUUUGUUUUUUCUUGCUCAGCACUUUCAAAGUUGCCAUUCAAAUCUUCAUACAACAAAAGUGGAUCAUAAAAAAUGCUUCAUCUCCAUUUUUUUCACAGGACUAAAUUUAUCACAAGUAGACAUUGAAUUACCAUAAAUCAUAGUCGGUUGAUUUUCUCAGAGAGAUUACACGGCUGAGUAACCUUUUAAUUACCAACUGUUGUCAAUUAGCAUUGUUGAUGACAUAUAAAGUAUGAGCAUGUUCAAAAUAUUUUUGUGUCUGUUUAUUUUUCCUAAAUGUUGACUUAAUGCAUGUAUUGUAAGGGUCUUAGUAUUAGAUUCCUGUGAAAAUUAGAUUCCUUUUUUUAUAUUUAAUAAGAUUUUCAAGUUUCUGAAAGGAUGUAGAUUACGUCUCACAAAAAGGAAAUUCUCACUCAAAGCGAAUGUUAGCCAUAGUUUGUAAUAGUUUAUGGUGCUGCCUGCUGACACUUCACUGAUCCGAGGCCAGGCUGAGAGCAAUGGUGUCACAGAGGAGAGUCAUCGUCAGGGUGAAAGGGUUCUCAUGCCGUGGAGGUAAAUGGGUUUGCCACACAACCUGUAUCUUCCCACUGCAUCUAAUGGGAGAGGAGUGUGGUGUUGCCAUGGAAAGCUGUAAUGCAACAUACUUUAAAACACAUACAUCCAUGUAUGAUCAGGAACAUGAGUGCUAACACCUUUACAUUUUACAGAUUGUAUUUUUGAUUACAUGCUCACCAUCAGAGCAUUUUGAGUAGCACAGUUCCAUUUAAAUAUGAUGUUCUUUUAUAUAGUGUUUAGUAUUGAAUUUAAUGGUUUCAGAAGAUGUCUAAAUUGAUAUUAUGAGCAUGCAACAUUAUGGAAUCCUACUCUCUGUAAUGGUGUUUCAAUAGUGUUGAAGCUUUAUACAACCCUGCCUGCAUCUGCAGUCAAACCACCUAUUCUUAACAGUAUGCACACGUUAAAUAACCGUGCAUGUUUGUGAAAAGAAAAGAGAAUAUGAACAAUUUCACCUCACUUCCCUCUUAGAAUCAAACCAAACUUCCGGAAUUGAAGGUCUCUACACUACAAACGAUGAUCCCCAAAAUGGCUCUGUUAUUACAAUGUUUCAUUCCACUAUAAGCUGCAAAGUGCUGCUAUUGGUUUUGCUGUUUUAAUGUGUGCAGGUGGUGCUCCAUAACCGUUUUUUAUGAUGGCAGGGAUCUGCAGUCAAGUGGACACAAAUUGAUGUCUGCCUUUUCUCCUUUCACACUCCGUUAUAUAUACACAUGCACAGACACGCAGAUACUGGGUUGCCUUACAAAGGAUGCCUGCCAGACAUCACCAAACCAGUUCACAAAAGAUUCUUGACUUGAUUCUCCUUUACCAUAUCAAUCCCUCUGGCAGCACCAGUUCUUUGUCUUCUAGGAGAUUCAAAUCGGUGGAUUGACACAUUUUGUAAUUUUCCACCACGCCUAACUAACAAGAAGACAGGGACAAAUGUAAAAGCUACAAAGUAUUCUGCUGUUUUUUGUUUAUCAGUGAAACUCUAAUUUUUUCCUCUGUUUGUGCAAUGACAGUUCGCCGAUUGGACUUGACAUGCAGUGUUUUCCAAUUAGUGAUUCCAGAGAGACAGAGAAGUCUACACAUGGCACUUGGUGGAGCCAGUGGCUUUGGCUUCAGGAGAACAGAUGAGCAGAGAUCUGUAAAGCUUGUGGGGAUGCUUGGGCUUUAAAUGUGCAGAGGAACUCAUUUGAAUGCAAUGAAAGCACUGAAGGAUCGGUGGUAAAGCUAAUCAGGGAGAUGUCUUCUGUUGGCAAUGUAUAGCCUUUCUUAGACUGUGACAUUUCUAAUAUUUCAUUUUAGUCUAUUUCCAAGCAAAACACGUAUAUAUUUGCAAAUAUAUCAAACAGGAAAUAAUAAUAUAAAAACUGAAGUGCAUUAAAAUAAUUAUUCUAGUAAUAAAGGGAUUUGCCGUCAUGUUAAGAGGCGUUAACAUAUUGAUAUAUCAAUAUAUAUACAAGAACAGACCGCUGUGCCACACCGCUUGUUUACAGUGUUUACAAUGGCACAUAACACUAGACCUGCUAUGAAUCUUGCAUACUUAAGAAAAUCCGCUGAUUAGCUGAUCUUGAUUUAAGCUUUCUUCUUCCAUCAGAUGGCUUUGCUUUAUUUGUUAAAUGAUGUUAAAAAGAAAUUGGUUUAUUUGUAAAAAAAAACAGAUGACCACUUCGAAACUGUUAAGUGAUUCCAGUUUUGUGUACUAUAUGCAUCAUGCAUUCAGCCAGAAAUGUGGAAGUGACAUUUUUAAAUUUGGAGGGAUUAUAUAUCUUAAUACUGUCUUCUCUGAUGAGAGGAUUUAGAACAACUACCCUUUAACCGAUAUGAGCAACAGUACAAAAAGAAAGAGAAAUUGAGUGAUGGAAACUUCAAAAAGUUUUUGAAAAACAUUUGAGUAUUCUUACUUUAGAAUGAACAGGCUAAACACCAUAGUUGAAACUAAGCUUUGAAGACCAGCAGCAUUACAUGCAUAGCACAUGCUAAAAGCUAUGUGUUUUAUGCAGUAUUUUAACUGCAGUCAAGAGAGGAUUAUAAUGGGUCUGACAUCAGAUAAUUGAAACAAAUUCAUUGACUAAGACAGAAGACAGACCUGACAACCGGUGUGGAAUUGUGGUUACAAAUUUUGCCAGGGAUCCAUGAGCCAUCGUCAUUAUGCCUUUAAAGCAGGGGUCUUCAACAUUUUAUCGGGACAAGGACCCCUUAGAUGAGAGAUGCAUGGAGCAAGGACCCCCUUAUACUAAAUGUGUAAACAGAGCUAUUUAAAUAAAAAUAACAACAAUUGUUACGGCAAUAUUAUGUCAAGACAUCACAUUAGCCCUAUUGUGGAUGUUAUUGCUGCACAUACAUGCUUUUCUGUGUAUUAUUUUUGUUGUUAAUAUAGAUUGUUUGAUUAUUUUAAGGGAUUUGCAGCAUCAUACUGUAGUAGAGUAGGCGGGGCGAGACCGUGGUUCGAGUCCGGUGAGUAAUUGUGAAUUAGCGCCAGCUGUGCGCACACCGGGCUCGAAUCACGUAGGAGAUUGGGAGCAUAUAAAAGGAACGAGCGACCGGACCGUCGAAGAGAGAGGACCGGGCCCGAACUUAUGUUAAGUUUAUAUUUAUGUUGUUGUGUUUUGUAUUUAUGUUUUGUUCGCCGGCGGUCAUCCGUGAGGGGCCGCCGGCUGUUAUAUUACUUUAUUAAAUGUUUAAAUGUU